AUCUUGUGCCAGCCACCGCGGUCAUACAAGGGACCCAAAUUAACCGUAUGCGGCGUAAAGAGUGGUGUCAUGAUAUCAUAGUAACUAGGAUUAAAGCGUAGCUGAGCUGUCAUAAGCCCAUGAUGCACCUAAGCCCACCCUAAAGAUGAUCCUAGCACCCACGAUCAAUUGCACCCCACGAAAGCUAAGGCCCAAACUGGGAUUAGAUACCCCACUAUGCUUAGCCCUAAAUCUCGGUGCUUGCUUCACUAAAGCACCCGCCUGAGGACUACGAGCGCAAACGCUUGAAACUCUAAGGACUUGGCGGUGCCCCAAACCCACCUAGAGGAGCCUGUUCUAUAAUCGAUAAUCCACGAUACACCCGACCGCCCCUCGCCAAGGCAGCCUACAUACCGCCGUCGCCAGCUCACCUCACUUGAGAGCACAUCAGUGAGCACAAUAGCCCAACCCGCUAGCAAGACAGGUCAAGGUAUAGCCAAUGGGAGCGGAAGAAAUGGGCUACAUUUUCUAGGCUAGAAAACCUUUACGAAAGGGCGUGUGAAACCACGCCCGGAAGGCGGAUUUAGCAGUAAAGCGGGACAAUAGAGCCCUCUUUAAGUUGGCCCUGGAGCACGUACAUACCGCCCGUCACCCUCCUCACAAGCUGCAGACUAAUAUAAUUAAUACACUAACUAGCCGAAGAUGAGGUAAGUCGUAACAAGGUAAGUGUACCGGAAGGUGCACUUAGCAUAC
RNAcentral lists this ribosomal RNA (732 nucleotides) under Burhinus grallarius (Bush thick-knee). RNAcentral describes it as "partial 12S ribosomal RNA". It matches the Rfam family "Bacterial small subunit ribosomal RNA", at positions 500 to 1533 of the family's 1533-position model. The record is from RNAcentral. Lineage: Eukaryota; Metazoa; Chordata; Aves; Charadriiformes; Burhinidae.